This 465-nucleotide ribosomal RNA is filed under the name Vreelandella stevensii. RNAcentral describes it as "partial 16S ribosomal RNA". It matches the Rfam family "Bacterial small subunit ribosomal RNA", at positions 338 to 795 of the family's 1533-position model. Lineage: Bacteria; Pseudomonadati; Pseudomonadota; Gammaproteobacteria; Oceanospirillales; Halomonadaceae. The record is from RNAcentral.
CCUACGGGAGGCAGCAGUGGGGAAUAUUGGACAAUGGGGGCAACCCUGAUCCAGCCAUGCCGCGUGUGUGAAGAAGGCCCUCGGGUUGUAAAGCACUUUCAGUGAGGAAGAACGCCUGGUGGUUAAUACCCAUCAGGAAAGACAUCACUCACAGAAGAAGCACCGGCUAACUCCGUGCCAGCAGCCGCGGUAAUACGGAGGGUGCGAGCGUUAAUCGGAAUUACUGGGCGUAAAGCGCGCGUAGGUGGCUUGAUAAGCCGGUUGUGAAAGCCCCGGGCUCAACCUGGGAACGGCAUCCGGAACUGUCAAGCUAGAGUGCAGGAGAGGAAAGUAGAAUUCCCGGUGUAGGGGUGAAAUUCGUAGAGGUCGGGAGGAAUACCAGUGGCGAAGGCGGCCUUCCGGACUGACACUGACACUGAGGUGCGAAAGCGUGGGUAGCAAACAGGAUUAGAUACCCCUGUAGUC